Molecule: transfer RNA, 80 nt
Filed under: Pleuronectes platessa (European plaice)
Lineage: Eukaryota; Metazoa; Chordata; Actinopteri; Pleuronectiformes; Pleuronectidae
Description: tRNA-Cys
Source: RNAcentral
GGGGAAUUAGCUCAAAUGGUAUAGAGCGCUCGCUUGCAGCGUGCGAGAAGUACGUGGGAUCGAUGCCGCACAUUCCCACA